Athene cunicularia (burrowing owl) is the source of this 2187-nucleotide long non-coding RNA. RefSeq lists it as uncharacterized. Lineage: Eukaryota; Metazoa; Chordata; Aves; Strigiformes; Strigidae. The transcript has 3 exons. The record is from RefSeq and is a predicted model, not a curated record.
AGCCCGCAGCCUUCGCCCCGCACGCCCGCAGCCGCCCGGCCGCUGCCUCCGGGCCGCCUAUUAAUACCCUCCGCGCCGCUGGCCCGGCGCCAGCCGCCUCCUCCGGCAGCGGGGGGGCGGCGGAGGGGGGAGCCGCCCGCAGGCCCUCCCGGCACGGCUGCCCCCGGAGCCUGAGGGCACCGGCGGCGGGGAGGCCGCGAGUUGAUAUGGCACUGUGCAUCUCGGUGCCCUUUCUGUUCUCAUCACCUGUCCUCCUCCCUGAAGUUUGUUACAUGAAGAUGCAACCUUUUCAUCAAGAGAAGUUGUGAGCUCCAUUUUUAAAAUUACAAAGAAUUCUCAGCUUCAAAUGGAGUAAACAAAAGCUGCAGGACCCCUGUGCUUGUGAAAAUCAGAUCCUGGGGAAUUAAUAAUGGAAGUGUCAUGGUUACCUCUAUUGGUAUCAACAUCACCUAUGGAACUCAAACAUUAGUAGUCGGGUGCAGGUAACUGAGACAGGGAAGAAAAAGCAUUAAGAGGUUGAAGGGCAUUCAUUACCUUUUUCAUGCCUAGAGGAAUAAUGUUGCUGUGCUACUGGAGGCCAACCAAAGGUGAAGACUGAUCAUUCUAUACAGUAAAGCGAAGAAGUAGAUAGGCUCUCAAGUUGCAGCAUCUGAUGCCUUCAGAGGAACAAUAUUACAUUAGCUGGUUGGCAAAACACGUUGUUCAGAAUGUCAAGGCUCAAAACAACAAAACAUCAGUAGGUGAGGCUCAGACCCUAAAGGCAUCAGCAAAGAAAACAGCAUAAAGAAUACUGACUUUCAACAGCAAAAUAUGGCUGCAGGACCCUUCCUGGAGAUUAUAUUCUGUGUAUCACAGGUGAUCAAAUGUCAUUCCCUUGAGACACACAUAGGCCACAUCUUCUUUUGGACAGCACAUCGUCAGAUGUCCAAAGGUCUCUACAUACUGUGAAGAGUCUAGUGGGAGGAAAGCACGGGGAGCAGUUCACAAACAGCAAAAGCCUAGGCAUCCUUAGGAGGCAGGGCAAGGACCUGUCAAAUACCAGAACUCACUGCUGUCCCUGCUGGUGGUGCCAGGGGCAGGAUGAGCAGUAAACAACAACAGCCUGAGAGUCAGAAGCACUGAAAGGACAUCCCACCACUCCACUGCAGGCCUGGACUGGACAUCCAGGUCAGGCCUGUGGCAACCUCAUGUUGCUAGCUUUAUCCCUGCUUGCUGAUCAAAUGGAAACUCACCCAAAUUGCUGGCAAGUCUUUCGUGGUUUCAUAGACUCAGCUUAGAUACCCACGUUGUGUAUUUAAAUCUAUUAAAUCAUGUCUAUAUUUUCUUGAAAAAAAAAGGUACGAUAAUCCAAAUAGGGCUAUUUAUAACACUUGAGCAUGUAAACUUUCAAGAUUGGCUUUUGUUGAUUGAAGUCAAUAAUGAAAAUUACAGAUCUAACUGUUAUUAUUCCCAUGUUUAAUAAAAGAAGCCUAGCAACAUACAUUAUUAAAGGUAGACUACCUAAGGUGCCUGAUCUCAAAAUUGUAAUACUAUUUUUAUAUAACUGAUACAUCUUGUACAUUCUCCUUUAAUCAAUGUUGACAAACCAGGUCAUGUCAUAUCCCUUCUCUAAUGCUGGUUUUGGUGGGAGGAGAAAGAAUUUAAAACCUCAUAGGAUGAGGAACCUUGCACGAUAUGGGAAUCAACAUAUUGUUUCACCCAUUAUGUUUUAAUCAAAUAUUUUCCUGGGGUAGAUAUGUGCUCUGGGAAAGAUCCUCAUGAUAAAACAAUGCUUCACAAUUCUCAUUACUCAGGUUUAUGAAGUUGCUUGCCCCUUCUGUAAUUCAGAGAGAUUAAAUCACUCUUUCAAAUUAAAAAUAGGACGAUCAACUGAUUAGAACAGGACUUCUGUUUGCUCUUUGAAUCGGGCAGACAAAAGAGGGAGCAGAAGCAACAAGGAAAUCAGUUCAAGAAUUGUAACAAAUAAAUGAGGAUAUUUAAAAUCCCAGACUCUAAUUGUAUCUCAAGAUCUUAUUGAUUACAAAGAAAAAUACAAGUUUCAUUCUUAUGGUUUAUAACAUUACCAAAAUCUUUUGAUGGCCUGUUAUAUUUUGUUCUAGAUAGAGAAGCCAAGGGAAAAAUGGCUAAUAAAAGCAAGGUGUUUUCAUCCUUAUUAUGUGUCUGUACUCGAUGUUUUUUAAUAAACAA